CCCUUAUCUUUGGCCUGCAAAAGGAGAAACAACCAAGAAAUGCUGAAAGCGGGAAAAUCUGCUGCAUUCCAAAGGGGAACCCAGCCAUGGGCUCAUCAAUGAAGCAAAAAUUCUGCCAUCUUCCUUAGGUGAAGUCAGUCAUUCCCAAGACAGCUGAGAUGCCUGAGACAGACUAGAUGUCCCAAAAGCAUUAAAUUGUGAGACUCAAGUGGUACAUCCUCCCUCAGUUCCCUACAGCUCUGAUCACCACAGCUGAAGCACUAUGGCAGAUAAAAGAGAAGCUGAUAUCUCGAAAGACUGUCUCAUUGCACAGGAACAGCGUUUGCAGGAAAACAAGCUGGAACAAUUAGCAAUGCUGAAUCGGGAGAGAGCGUGGAUAAGAAGGAUGUGACAGAUUCAUACUCCCCGCUCCUCAUGUCUGUCAUGGAGAAGGUAAAAUGGGUGCUUCUCAUUAGCCUUUCACAUAACAGAAGAACAAGAUGUUAACUUAAAGGCAACAAAUUUGAAAUCUAAUCAAAUUUGAAAUGAUAAGAGGAAAUCAGAACAGUUAAUCUGAUAGAAUAACUAUUGAAACCAAGAACUUAGUGAAGCUAUAAUAAGGACUGGAUGUUUCUAUGUGCUAAUAAAGUAUCAAUUUAAUAUUUUCUCUGUCCCAUCUCAUAAGGUUAUAAUCUUCUGUGUCUCUAGAGAAGUCAGUUUACUAACAAAAAGAAAAGAAGUAGUCUUCCUUUCUAUGAUCAGGCAAAUCUGUUUGUUUACUACUUGGUUUUUCAUCAUCUUCUACAGUCUUGGGGAAUGGAAGAAUCAGUGACAUGGUAAUGGGUGGACUGUUCACCUGCUCCUUGACAACAAUUCCUGCAUUUUCACCUAUGAAGCUACUAACAAGAAGAAAAUGGAUAAAGUUCCAGGAAAUUUGUCUCAUGAGGAUUAGACAUGCUGCCAUCUGCAAUACAGACAUUUCUAUCAGCGGAUAUGGCCAGGAAAACCUGCUGUUUGUGAGUAAUUUAUUUUAAAAAUAAGUACUGUCUCUUAAAAGUGUAACUGGAGAGUGACAUGUAGCUCUAAAACUAAUCUUCUAGUUAGAAGCAGAAAAUAACGCACAUCAGUGACUAUCUGUAAGGCAAGUAGCAUGGGCAUGAAGAGGGAUG
Molecule: long non-coding RNA, 1148 nt
Filed under: Parus major (Great Tit)
Lineage: Eukaryota; Metazoa; Chordata; Aves; Passeriformes; Paridae
Description: lncRNA (ENSPMJG00000010683.1)
Source: RNAcentral